GGAGGGGUGGCUGAGUGGUCGAAGGCAACGGUCUUGAAAACCGUCAGGGUAGCAAUACCCUCGUGGGUUCGAAUCCCACCCCCUCCGCCA
RNAcentral lists this transfer RNA (90 nucleotides) under bacterium. Its description in RNAcentral is "tRNA-Ser". It matches the Rfam family "tRNA". Rfam says of the family: Transfer RNA (tRNA) molecules are approximately 80 nucleotides in length. Their secondary structure includes four short double-helical elements and three loops (D, anti-codon, and T loops). The record is from RNAcentral.